Molecule: non-coding RNA, 684 nt
Organism: Schizosaccharomyces pombe (fission yeast)
Lineage: Eukaryota; Fungi; Ascomycota; Schizosaccharomycetes; Schizosaccharomycetales; Schizosaccharomycetaceae
Source: the annotation of a GenBank genome assembly
CACAAGCUACUAUAGGGCCUUGUAAGGGAUCAAAUAAUGCAAAAAAUAUUGCCAAUAAACGAGGCGGAAAGCUGUCAGCUUGAUCCAUCCAUCCCUCUUCAGAAUACUCCAUAGGAAAGCUAAAGAAUUUAAAAAUUUCCGAGUUUUUUAUCUAACCUUUAAUUUAUGAAGCUAAAACUUGUAAGAUAUUUAUUUUAAUAUUUCGUUAUGCCCCUACUGGUGGAUGCAAAAGCUUAUGUGCAAGUGUCGAUUUGGGGACUAACUUCAAAAACCAUAUAAAUCUUUGUACGCUACCCAGAAAAGUAGUUGUGCUAAUGAAUUUAUUAUUUACAAACAAUAUUCAGAUUUCUGCAUUGAUGUAACGGUAAGAUGGAAAGUCAUAUAACACUUGUGUACAUUGGGUCAGUAAAUUAUACAAAUUUGAUUCUUAACGUCAAAGCUUCCUGACUACAGCCACAUUUCGCUACAUCAUUAAUGUUAAUAAGGUGAUAAAAAUCAUAUCUGUAUUAACAUUAAGGAUUAUUUCGUAUGGAUAACAGAUGCUAGCAGCCUCUAGGGUUAAAAGAUUUUAAAAAAGUAUAAAACUUGAUUUUCUUAAUCUUUUUGCUUGAUAACUGCGCUAGUAAUAUCCAGUAUACACAGUAAUCAUAUAAAAAUAGUUAAUCUUUGAAACGAUAGUUAAUA